GGGAGAUAGGGUACAGAGAGGGCAGCCACCUCGAAAGAGAAGAUAGCCCUCUCCAAGCUGCUUCAAUCCUCAACUCAGCCAGCCUAUUGCCAGCCAGUCUUCAUCUGGAGCCCAAGGUACACAGGAAAAGAGGCUUCCAGAGGCCACCACCUGCUUCCGCCUGCAGCCCCUUCCUCCAUCUGCACAGCCAGCCACGCUGCAUCUCC
Molecule: long non-coding RNA, 206 nt
Filed under: Homo sapiens (human)
Lineage: Eukaryota; Metazoa; Chordata; Mammalia; Primates; Hominidae
Description: PREDICTED lncRNA (TCONS_00127812)
Source: RNAcentral